This 758-nucleotide long non-coding RNA is filed under the name Oncorhynchus kisutch (coho salmon). Its description in RNAcentral is "lncRNA (ENSOKIG00005024465.1)". Lineage: Eukaryota; Metazoa; Chordata; Actinopteri; Salmoniformes; Salmonidae. The record is from RNAcentral.
ACCAUAAUCAUGCCUUAAUAAACAUUAUAUUGGUCCAGUUAAACAUAGAUUGCUACCAACCUAUACAAAUAUUAAGCUGAGAUGUGUUUAUUAUUUCCAAAUAGGCCAUGGAAUUUCUGAAGUCAUACAAGGAGGACCUGUGCAAGUGGUUAUCGACGAUGGAUGCUGAGUUUAUCAUUGACAAGUGUGACAAUCUCCUAACAGCUAAACAGGAUAAGGCUAUUCGCAAUCAAAAAACGGAUCCAGGGAAGAUCAGUCUUCUUUUGGAGACAUUCAUUGAAAUGGAAGAAAGUACAUGUCAGAACUUCCUUAAGCUUCUGAAGAAAGAGCAGACACAUUAUCCAGGCCUUCAACAACAUUUCAGCAAGAGCACACAAGCUUCAUCCAGCCCAAAGGUGUAUGCGGAUUGCAACAGCACUGUUGAUACCAGGAAAGUCACCAAUGUCCGCGGUAUUAAAGACUUAGACAUGCAUGUAACCGUUCAAGCAGGAUCGGGGAAUCGAUCUGGAAUGAACGUCAGCCAACCACCCCCACAUGCAGAAGUGGUUGCAACAAAACACAGCCAUAUAUUUGCAUCAGAGAUAUCGAACUGUACAAUCGAUGGCAACCUCAAUAUGUCUGUGAUGCAGGCCCCAGCCCCCCAGGCCCCACAGUGUCCAGGUGAACUACUGCAUUUAGGCAGGUUUUUAUCUUCACAGGUCUCAGUGGUAGCUGUGUUAAAGAACAGGAUCAUCUUGACAAAUAACCUUGACAAAUGA